This 141-nucleotide ribosomal RNA is filed under the name Butyrivibrio sp. Its description in RNAcentral is "partial 23S ribosomal RNA". It matches the Rfam family "Bacterial large subunit ribosomal RNA", at positions 2784 to 2925 of the family's 2925-position model. The record is from RNAcentral. Lineage: Bacteria; Bacillati; Bacillota; Clostridia; Lachnospirales; Lachnospiraceae.
AGCGUGAAGCCCCCCUCAAGAUGAGAUAUCCCUGCUUUUAGCAGUAAGACCCCUUGUAGAGUACGAGGUUAGAUAGGCACAAGGUGUAAGCAUGGUAACGUGUUGAGCUGAUGUGUACUAAUAGGUCGAGGGCUUAUCCAA